This 386-nucleotide ribosomal RNA is filed under the name uncultured bacterium. Its description in RNAcentral is "bacterial SSU rRNA". It matches the Rfam family "Bacterial small subunit ribosomal RNA", at positions 92 to 507 of the family's 1533-position model. The record is from RNAcentral.
CUAGUGGCGACGGGUGAGUAACACGUUGGAACCUAGCCCCAAAGUGAGGAAUAAGCCACCGAAAGGUGGUCUAAUACUUCAUAAUAUCCAUCUCGUAUGGAUUAAAGCUUUAUGCGCUUUGGAGGGGCCUGCGUAACAUUAGCUUGUUGGUGAGGUAAAAGCUCACCAAGGCUUCGAUGUUUAACUGGUUUGAGAGGAUGACCAGUCACACUGGGACUGAGAUACGGCCCAGACUCCUACGGGAGGCAGCAGUAAGGAAUCUUCCACAAUGGGGCAACCCUGAUGGAGCAAUACCGCGUGCAGGAUGAAGCGUUUCGGCGUGUAAACUGCUUUUAUCACCGAAGAUUAUGACUGUAGGUGAAGAAUAAGGACCGGCUAACUACGUG